Molecule: ribosomal RNA, 468 nt
Filed under: uncultured bacterium
Lineage: Bacteria
Description: partial 16S ribosomal RNA
Rfam family: Bacterial small subunit ribosomal RNA
Source: RNAcentral
GACGAACGCUGGCGGCGUGCUUAACACAUGCAAGUCGAACGGAAAGGCCCUGCUUUUGUGGGGUGCUCGAGUGGCGAACGGGUGAGUAACACGUGAGUAACCUGCCCUUGACUUUGGGAUAACUUCAGGAAACUGGGGCUAAUACCGGAUAGGAGCUCCUGCUGCAUGGUGGGGGUUGGAAAGUUUCGGCGGUUGGGGAUGGACUCGCGGCUUAUCAGCUUGUUGGUGGGGUAGUGGCUUACCAAGGCUUUGACGGGUAGCCGGCCUGAGAGGGUGACCGGCCACAUUGGGCCUGAGAUACGGCCCAGACUCCUACGGGAGGCAGCAGCGGGGAAUAUUGCACAAUGGGCGGAAGCCUGAUGCAGCAACGCCGCGUGCUGGAUGACUGCCUUCGGGUUGUAAACCGCUUUCGCCUGUGACGAAGCGUGAGUGACGGUAAUGGUUAAAGAAGCACCGGCUAACUACGUG